This 1222-nucleotide ribosomal RNA is filed under the name Halobacillus dabanensis. RNAcentral describes it as "bacterial SSU rRNA". It matches the Rfam family "Bacterial small subunit ribosomal RNA", at positions 41 to 1230 of the family's 1533-position model. The record is from RNAcentral. Lineage: Bacteria; Bacillati; Bacillota; Bacilli; Caryophanales; Bacillaceae.
GGGGGGUGCUAUAAAUGCAAGUCGAGCGCGGGAAGCGAGUGGAUCCCUUCGGGGUGAAGCUCGUGGAACGAGCGGCGGACGGGUGAGUAACACGUGGGCAACCUGCCUGUAAGACCGGAAUAACCCCGGGAAACCGGGGCUAAUGCCGGGUAAUACUUUUCUUCGCAUGAAGGAAAGUUGAAAGAUGGCUUCUUGCUAUCACUUACAGAUGGGCCCGCGGCGCAUUAGCUAGUUGGUGAGGUAACGGCUCACCAAGGCGACGAUGCGUAGCCGACCUGAGAGGGUGAUCGGCCACACUGGGACUGAGACACGGCCCAGACUCCUACGGGAGGCAGCAGUAGGGAAUCUUCCGCAAUGGACGAAAGUCUGACGGAGCAACGCCGCGUGAACGAUGAAGGUCUUCGGAUCGUAAAGUUCUGUUGUUAGGGAAGAACAAGUACCGCCCAAAUAGAGCGGUACCUUGACGGUACCUAACGAGGAAGCCCCGGCUAACUACGUGCCAGCAGCCGCGGUAAUACGUAGGGGGCAAGCGUUGUCCGGAAUUAUUGGGCGUAAAGCGCGCGCAGGCGGUUCCUUAAGUCUGAUGUGAAAGCCCACGGCUCAACCGUGGAGGGUCAUUGGAAACUGGGGAACUUGAGGACAGAAGAGGAGAGUGGAAUUCCACGUGUAGCGGUGAAAUGCGUAGAUAUGUGGAGGAACACCAGUGGCGAAGGCGACUCUCUGGUCUGUUUCUGACGCUGAGGUGCGAAAGCGUGGGUAGCAAACAGGAUUAGAUACCCUGGUAGUCCACGCCGUAAACGAUGAGUGCUAGGUGUUAGGGGGCUUCCACCCCUUAGUGCUGAAGUUAACGCAUUAAGCACUCCGCCUGGGGAGUACGGCCGCAAGGCUGAAACUCAAAGGAAUUGACGGGGGCCCGCACAAGCGGUGGAGCAUGUGGUUUAAUUCGAAGCAACGCGAAGAACCUUACCAGGUCUUGACAUCCUUGGACAACCCUAGAGAUAGGGCUUUCCCUUCGGGGACCAAGUGACAGGUGGCGCAUGGUUGUCGUCAGCUCGUGUCGUGAGAUGUUGGGUUAAGUCCCGCAACGAGCGCACCCCCUAAUCUUAAGUCGCAGCAUUACGUUGGGCACUCUAAGGGGAUCGCCGGUGACAAACCGGAGGGAAGGCGGGGAUGACGGCAAAUCAUCAUGCCCCUUAUGACCUGGGUUACAACGGGGUUACAA